RNAcentral lists this ribosomal RNA (2249 nucleotides) under Triticum aestivum (bread wheat). Its description in RNAcentral is "partial small subunit ribosomal RNA". The record is from RNAcentral. Lineage: Eukaryota; Viridiplantae; Streptophyta; Magnoliopsida; Poales; Poaceae.
CUUUUUUGGGUAGCUUUUCCUUUUGGCGGUUGUCCUACGAGGGAAGUACCGCGAGACGAGAAGGGACGCUGGUGAGGGAAGAGGAGGGAGGCAGGUUAAAAAGGGUAGCCUCUCCACCUAUCCUAUCCUCCUAGAAUGGUUGUGUGGUGUGGUGGACGCAGUCAAUGAGUCAAACAAACAACGAAGACUCAAGACGGACUAACUAAACCAACCUGUUCUGCUGUGGUGGAGACGGAGACGGACGACGUUGGGCUUCGAGGAGGGGGUGGAGACGACGUUCGACUUCGUUUAGGUUGGUCGCGGCUAGUAGGUUUCCAGAGGUACUUGAUUAAGUCCUCACACACAUAGGGGGGUUAAUUAAGAGAUAGCCGUCGUCACAGAAGAAGGAGUAUGAAACCGUCACACAUUGAUCAUAAAUACUGAAAGGAGAAAAUGAAUAAAAUAAGGACCGCUAAACCGCGAGAAGAGAAGAACCUACCCACGAUGAUCAUCAUCAUUUUCUAACGUCGCUUAACUAGAAGAAAUACGCAAAGCAAAGGGCGCACGGGGAGUUCCUUCCGUAGUUUAGGGGGAGGAGGAACGGGGUCAAUGUCAAUGUUUUGUAAAGGGAGUCUUAGGAGCGGCAGCGGCCGAGAAGGGAAGGAAGGAAGGCAAGAAGGAGCCCGAUUCUAAACUAAACUAGCUCAUCGCCAUUGGCGGCGACGACGGGCAUACGUAGGGGUGAAUUAAGGCUUAACCUAAAAUCCACGUACAAAGCUAGGUAGCUAGCUAGGCGCCAGACUUUAUAGAGACGCAAAAACCAAACCAAAGAGCUAGUCCCCCCGUACGGCCCUCCUCCUCCUCCUCCUCCUCCCCCUCGCCGCCGCCACCACCACCUGCCGUUCCUGCCCAUGCGCCGCGGCCGCUCCCGCCGCGGCUCCUCGAAGGGCCGCUUCGAGGAGUCCGGCCACGAGGAGAGGCGCCACGAGCGGUGCCCGAAGGAGCGGCGCCGGGACGAGUACAAGAAGCCGCCGCGGAGGAGGAUGAUGGCGGAGGGCUCCGAGCGGCACGGCCUGCGGGACGAGGGCCGCGGCUGGACGCUGGUCCUCCUGCCCCUGGUCGUCCCGCCCCGCCGCGUCGCCACCACCCGCGCCGGCGGCCGCUCCUCGCGCACCGUGUUGUACUCGCUCCUCCUCGACGACACCCGCCGCAGCAAGCUCGGGGCGCGCGUAGUUGCCGCCGGCGGGCCGGCCGCCCCCUCCUGCGGGUUCCACCGGAAGAACAAGGAGUGGGCGCCGGGCGACGGCGACCGCGGCGAGACCCUCGCGAAGAAGUUGUCGUGGCCGUGGUUUCCGUCCCUCGAGAAGAGGCACAUGCACGUGUGGUGCGGCCCGAUGGCGGAGCUGAAGGGCGGCAGCAGCGGCAAGGUGGCGGCCGUCCACGGGUCGUUCGGCUGCGCCACCCCGUUGCACUUACAGCACCUGCGCCUCGCCGCCGACGACCGCUUGCGCGAGGAGCUGAAGUCGUUGCUCGCGAAGCACGAGCAGAGGCUCAGGACGUAGGGCGAGAUGGGCGAGGGCCACCACGUACGGAUGGACUGGGCGAGAGCCGUGUCGAAGCAGCCGCGGAAGCUGCUGGGCUCGGGCGUGCCGGCCCCGGCCAUGGCGCGGCCCGACCGGGGCCUGCACUGAGAGAGGGUCACCGCGUUCCCGCGCGUCACCAAGCUCUACCUGGCCGCGGAGCGGCACAAGCACUAGCGGCUGCUCGCCAUGAUGGGCGCCAAGGCCUGGCUCACAGCCCGCGGCACGAUGCACCUGCUCGUGAUGGAAGGGUGGCACGAGAGGUAACUCCGCGGCUGCGUUUAGCGGUUGGCCUGGCAGUGGAACCAGCUGACCAGGGCGCCGCCGCGCGUGGGCCGGUGGAAGCCGCGGCGGCUGCACUGGCUCCUGAAGGACCCCUACGACCACCCCUUCUUCCCCUUACGACUCGCCACGUACAUGUUGCCCGUCGGCCAGCUCCACACGAAGGAGAAACGCUCCUUCAAGCGGGGGCGGCGCAACGGCGUCGACGAGUCGGAAAGGAGGUUCUAGGAACCCAUGAUCGAUACGGAAAAUGAUUUAACUAAAACCAGACGAAUACAUAUCGAGUAUGAGUGACUUCCCCUUAUCUCCUUAUGUUAAGAAAAAAAUACACAGUGUUCUUGUUUUCCUACUUACUAGCUCACCCAUCAACAAAGAAUUGGUAAGGAUAAAGACUAUGGAAUCCCGAGG